RNAcentral lists this transfer RNA (68 nucleotides) under Ictidomys tridecemlineatus (thirteen-lined ground squirrel). Its description in RNAcentral is "Spermophilus tridecemlineatus (thirteen-lined ground squirrel) tRNA". It matches the Rfam family "tRNA". From Rfam's summary of the family: Transfer RNA (tRNA) molecules are approximately 80 nucleotides in length. Their secondary structure includes four short double-helical elements and three loops (D, anti-codon, and T loops). Further hydrogen bonds mediate the characteristic L-shaped molecular structure. tRNAs have two regions of fundamental functional importance: the anti-codon, which is responsible for specific mRNA codon recognition, and the 3' end, to which the tRNAs corresponding amino acid is attached (by aminoacyl-tRNA synthetases). tRNAs cope with the degeneracy of the genetic code in two manners: having more than one tRNA (with a specific anti-codon) for a particular amino acid; and 'wobble' base-pairing, i.e. permitting non-standard base-pairing at the 3rd anti-codon position. The record is from Rfam by way of RNAcentral. Lineage: Eukaryota; Metazoa; Chordata; Mammalia; Rodentia; Sciuridae.
GUGGUGGCUCAGUGGUAGAGCGCUUGCCUAGCAUGUGUGAGGCACUGGGUUCAAUCCCCAGAACCACA